RNAcentral lists this ribosomal RNA (406 nucleotides) under uncultured bacterium. Its description in RNAcentral is "bacterial SSU rRNA". It matches the Rfam family "Bacterial small subunit ribosomal RNA", at positions 29 to 416 of the family's 1533-position model. The record is from RNAcentral.
AACGAACGCUGGCGGCGUGGCUUAGGCAUGCAAGUCGAACGAGAAACGAGGGGCAACCCUCGCAGUAAAGUGGCGAAAGGGUGAGUAAUGCCUAGACAAUCUACCCUCGAGACUGGGGCAACAACUGGAAACGGUUGCUAAUACCAGAUGCGAAGCGGGUGACCUCGGUCGCCCUCUUGAACGGGUGGGGACCCUGCGGGGCCUGCCGCUCGAGGAGGAGUUUAGGUCCCAUCAGCUAGNGGUAGGGUAACGGCCUACCAAGGCAACGACGGGUAGCCGGCCUGAGAGGGUGUACGGCCACACUGGGACUGAGACACUGCCCAGACUCCUACGGGAGGCUGCAGUCGUGAAUCUUCGGCAAUGGGCGCAAGCCUGACCGAGCGACGCCGCGUGGAGGAUGAAGGCC